RNAcentral lists this transfer RNA (72 nucleotides) under Aspergillus sojae NBRC 4239. Its description in RNAcentral is "tRNA-Cys (GCA) (tRNA-Cys-GCA-4-1)". It matches the Rfam family "tRNA". Rfam says of the family: Transfer RNA (tRNA) molecules are approximately 80 nucleotides in length. The record is from RNAcentral. Lineage: Eukaryota; Fungi; Ascomycota; Eurotiomycetes; Eurotiales; Aspergillaceae.
CCCCUGAUGGUCUAGUUGGAUAUGACGUCUGACUGCAAAUCAGAAGGUCGCUGGCUAUUCCGGCUCGGGGGA